GACAGAGGUGCCGAGCGUUAGGCGGAAUCACUGGGCUUAAAGCGUGUGUAGGCGGGCGAUCAAGUACCUUGUGAAAUCCCACGGCUCAACCGUGGAACCGCUGGGUAUACUGGUUGUCUUGAGCCGGCUAGGGGCGAGCGGAACAGACGGUGGAGCGGUGAAAUGCGUAGAUAUCGUCUGGAACGCCGAAGGUGAAAACAGCUCGCUGGGGCCGCGCCGACGCUGAGACACGAAAGCCAGGGGAGCGAACGGG
This 253-nucleotide ribosomal RNA is filed under the name uncultured bacterium. RNAcentral describes it as "partial 16S ribosomal RNA". It matches the Rfam family "Bacterial small subunit ribosomal RNA", at positions 524 to 776 of the family's 1533-position model. The record is from RNAcentral.